Molecule: long non-coding RNA, 584 nt
Organism: Salvia splendens (bonfire salvia)
Lineage: Eukaryota; Viridiplantae; Streptophyta; Magnoliopsida; Lamiales; Lamiaceae
Exons: 7
Source: RefSeq, a predicted model, not a curated record
GCAGUGAAUCACUCUCGUGUGCUACGGUUCCUAACUCGUGCAUUUUUUGUUGUUCUGAUCAAAUAUAUCGGGCAUCAGAUCAUCACAAAUUUGUGAGAGAACAAGUGGUCAACCAGCUGAAGUUACGACGAGACUUGUACGAAAAUUUUGUCCCGAUGCCUUAUGGUGAUUACAUAAAGAAAAUGAGCAAGAACGGGGAAUGGGGUGAUCACCUGACGUUGCAAGCUGCUGCAGAUUGGCUUGGCAUCAAAAUUUCGUCGUUACAUCAUACAGGGAUACAUGCUACAUCGAGAUCCUUCCACAGACUGAACAGAAGUCUGAUAGAACUAUAUUCUUGAGCUUCUGGGCUGAGGUUCACUACAACUCGAUAUAUCCAUUAGGAGAGUGGCUGGAGACGCUACCGGAGAUUGAAAAUGAUUCGGCUAUUGAUGGUGAAUUGGGGAAAAGGCUGAAUCAGCUUGUUCCUAUUCCUCAUGUUCCUAAAAUCAACGGCGAAAUACCCUCGGUUGAUGAAGCUACAUCAGACCAUCAAAGGCUUUUGUGGCUGUGUAAUUUUGUAUUUAGUUUCUAUCUUUUACUAUUUC